UGAGUUAUUAACACUUUGAAGCUUAAAGAAUGAAAUUUCAUAAGUAAAUUGAAAUCAUAUCAAAUAGACAUCCAGAUUACACAUUUUUGGGAACUUGAAUGGGAUGCACUCAGCUUGAUAUUAUGAUGGUAUUUUCCCAGGGGACUCGGGCACCCCUAAAUCACGCUCUGCCAUAGCCUUGCCCCCCUCCACAUAAGAGUCACAUGAGUGGAGAAGAUAAAGCAGAGGCAAGUAAACAGGUCUGCCCUUCCCCCUUCCUUGGCCUUAGUGGAACUUGGCACCGAUGGAACUUCACAGCCAUGGUGCCUCUUCCACCCUGUGCCCGCCAGCCACCACCAAAAUGUCUCUACACAGAAAGAGCUACUGCUGCUCUUUUUAAAGUCCAAAGUACAGCGGAGCGCCUGCAUUCACAUGUUCUCCUCUCCCCAGCUGCUGAAGGCCAGACUAACCCCACUCUUUUCAGGUGUCUCUCAAAGGCCGUCAUUUCUUCCUCUGCCUGCAAAGAUGAACUUUUCCCUUCUUCGCUGCCUUUAAGACUUUACGCCCAGCCCUGCACAGGGCCCUCAUCCAGGAGUAUUUGGGUUUUUCCUCCCACUCCUCCUGACAGUAGCACCUGAGGUGAACAUACCCUUCCCGGCCCUGCAGGUUUAGCCAGGUGUUCACGCCUCCCACAUGAUUCCUCUUCUAUUCCUCAUAUCUGAAACACCAGAAAAAUGAUCCCCAGCCCGGGACACUUCAGAAUGGGCCCCGCUUGAGUCGUGAAAUCACUUUUAAUCAGACAUGUAAAUUCCUUUUAAUUUUUUUAAGUGGCCUAUGGCACUUUUCAGAGGAGAGGGAGAAAAUAAUACCAACAAGGUGGUUAGAGUUUUUAAAAUAACAAUAUUCAGUACUUUGUUAUAACCUAGUCUUCAAAUGGGUUCCUAAAUCCUCAGUUCAGAAUUACACGAGAACUAGCCAGAGCUCCAAGAUCGGCUUCUCCCAGGUAAAUCGUUCAUUCAGCAUCUCUGAGUGCCUACUCAACCUGGGCAGUUAAUUUGGUCUCACCCUCCAUUGACCAGGUUUGCCUCCUAAUUAUAUGGGGCAGUAGAGCACUUAAUUGGGAGUCUCUGAGUCAUGGAUCCUUUUAUUCCUUCUGCUAGCCUGCGAGCCCUUGACCUGGGGCAAGACACUUAAUUCGCCUCAGCCCCAGUGGUCUCAUCAACAUAAUAAGGUUACUAGUCUAAGAGAUCACUAAGGUUUAUUCCAUCUCUGAAAUGCUGUUUCAUGUGAAAGUAGUGUUUGACCCUAGGAAAAAAGCACUAAAAAAAACUUUUUUUUUUCUUUAAAUUAAGCGUGCCUUGCAGAUCUGGUAUUAGUGGCUCUAUGACCUGUUGUAAGUUUCACCUGCCUGAGGUUUCGUGUCUUCAUCUGUAAAAACGAACAGUUCAUCCCUGGGCUGCUUCACACAUCAUGAGGCUUUCAAGUCCUGCUGUGCAACAGGAUUUCUCCGAGAGGAAACAGCAGGGCGAGCUUUUCCUACCAGCACGUGACUCCCGAACCCCUUUUCCUCUAAGCGUCGCAGGAUCUGAGGUUCUGUGGUUGCCCUUUGGAAAUCACUCAGCAGUGGGCCUGCUAUACAACACCAAAGACUGAGGAAAG
Molecule: long non-coding RNA, 1638 nt
Organism: Cervus elaphus (red deer)
Lineage: Eukaryota; Metazoa; Chordata; Mammalia; Artiodactyla; Cervidae
Exons: 2
Source: RefSeq, a predicted model, not a curated record